AAUAGAAUGCCUGAAAAAAGGGUUAUCUUGAUAGGAUAAAUCAUACUGGCCACCCAGUUUCUAUUA
This 66-nucleotide transfer RNA is filed under the name Orthotomicus laricis. RNAcentral's name for it is "tRNA-Ile". Lineage: Eukaryota; Metazoa; Arthropoda; Insecta; Coleoptera; Curculionidae. The record is from RNAcentral.